UACGUAGGGGGCAAGCGUUAUCCGGAUUUACUGGGUGUAAAGGGAGCGCAGGCGGCAGGGCAAGUCAGAUGUGAAAGCCCGGGGCUCAACCCCGGGACUGCAUUUGAAACUGUCCAGCUGGAGUACAGGAGAGGCAGGCGGAAUUCCUAGUGUAGCGGUGAAAUGCGUAGAUAUUAGGAGGAACACCAGUGGCGAAGGCGGCCUGCUGGACUGUAACUGACGCUGAGGCUCGAAAGCGUGGGGAGCAAACAGG
Molecule: ribosomal RNA, 253 nt
Filed under: uncultured bacterium
Lineage: Bacteria
Description: partial 16S ribosomal RNA
Rfam family: Bacterial small subunit ribosomal RNA
Source: RNAcentral